This 1308-nucleotide ribosomal RNA is filed under the name uncultured Stenotrophomonas sp. RNAcentral's name for it is "bacterial SSU rRNA". It matches the Rfam family "Bacterial small subunit ribosomal RNA", at positions 61 to 1354 of the family's 1533-position model. The record is from RNAcentral. Lineage: Bacteria; Pseudomonadati; Pseudomonadota; Gammaproteobacteria; Lysobacterales; Lysobacteraceae.
GUCGAACGGAGCACAGAGGAGCUUGCUCCUUGGGUGGCGAGUGGCGGACGGGUGAGGAAUACAUCGGAAUCUACUCUGUCGUGGGGGAUAACGUAGGGAAACUUACGCUAAUACCGCAUAUCGACCUACGGGUGAAAGCAGGGGAUCUUCGGACCCUUGCGCGAUUGAAUGAGCCGAUGUCGGAUUAGCUAGUUGGGGGGGUAAAGGCCCACCAAGGCGACGAUCCAUAGCUGGUCUGAGAGGAUGAUCAGCCACACUGGAACUGAGAAACGGUCCAGACUCCUACGGGAGGCAGCAGUGGGGAAUAUUGGACAAUGUGCGCAAGCCUGAUCCAGCCAUACCGCGUGGGUGAAGAAGGCCUUCGGGUUGUAAACCCUUUUGUUGGGAAAGAAAUCCAGCCGGCUAAUACCCGGUUGGGAUGACGGUACCCAAAGAAUAAGCACCGGCUAACUUCGUGCCAGCAGCCGCGGUAAUACGGAAGGGUGCAAGCGUUACUCGGAAUAACUGGGCGUAAAGCGUUCGUAGGUGGUCGUUUAAGUCCGGUUGUGAAAGCCCUGGGCUCAACCUGGGAACUGCAGUGGAUACUGGGCGACUAGAGUGUGGUAGAGGGUAGCGGAAUUCCUGGUGUAGCAGUGAAAUGCGUAGAGAUCAGGAGGAACAUCCAUGGCGAAGGCAGCUACCUGGACCAACACUGACACUGAGGCACGAAAGCGUGGGAGAGCAAACAGAUUAGAUACCCUGGUAGUCCACGCCCUAAACGAUGCGAACUGGAUGUUGGGUGCAAUUUGGCACGCAGUAUCGAAGCUAAUGCGUUAAGUUCGCCGCCUGGGGAGUACGGUCGCAAGACUGAAACUCAAAGGAAUUGACGGGGGCCCGCACAAGCGGUGGAGUAUGUGGUUUAAUUCGAUGCAACGCGAAGAACCUUACCUGGCCUUGACAUGUCGAGAACUUUCCAGAGAUGGAUUGGUGCCUUCGGGAACUCGAACACAGGUGCAGCAUGGCUGUCGUAAGCUCGUGUCGUGAGAUGUUGGGUUAGUCCCGCAACGAGCGCAACCCUUGUCCUUAGUUGCCAGCACGUAAUGGUGGGAACUCUAAGGAGACCGCCGGUGACCAACCGGGAGGAAGGUGGGGAUGACGUCAAGUCAUCAUGGCCCUUACGAGCCAGGGCUACACACGUACUACAAUGGUAGGGACAGAGGGCUGCAAGCCGGCGACGGUAAGCCAAUCCCAGAAACCCUAUCUCAGUCCGGAUUGGAGUCUGCAACUCGACUCCAUGAAGUCGGAAUCGCUAGUAAUCGCAGAUCAGCA